UUACCGAGUGAGGGCCCUCUGGGUCCAACCUCCCACCCGUGUUUAUUUACCUUGUUGCUUCGGCGAGCCUGCCUUUUGGCUGCCGGGGGACGUCAGUCCCCGGGUCCGUGCUCGCCGGAGACACCUUAGAACUCUGUCUGAAGAUUGUAGUCUGAGAUUAAAUAUAAAUUAUUUAAAACUUUCAACAACGGAUCUCUUGGUUCCGGCAUCGAUGAAGAACGCAGCGAAAUGCGAUACGUAAUGUGAAUUGCAGAAUUCAGUGAAUCAUCGAGUCUUUGAACGCACAUUGCGCCCUCUGGUAUUCCGGAGGGCAUGCCUGUCCGAGCGUCAUUGCUGCCCUCAAGCACGGCUUGUGUGUUGGGCCCCGUCCUCCUUCCGGGGGACGGGUCCGAAAGGCAGCGGCGGCACCGCGUCCGGUCCUCAAGCGUAUGGGGCUUUGUCACUCGCUUUGUAGGCCUGGCCGGCGCUUGCCGAUCAACCAAACUUUUUAUCAGGUUGACCUCGGAUCAGGUAGGGAUACCCGCUGAACUUAAGCAUAU
This 539-nucleotide ribosomal RNA is filed under the name Penicillium biourgeianum. Its description in RNAcentral is "eukaryotic LSU rRNA". The stretch from base 177 to 330 matches the Rfam family "5.8S ribosomal RNA". Lineage: Eukaryota; Fungi; Ascomycota; Eurotiomycetes; Eurotiales; Aspergillaceae. The record is from RNAcentral.